UACGUAGGGGGCAAGCGUUGUCCGGAAUCAUUGGGCGUAAAGCGCGUGUAGGCGGCCAGAAAAGUCCGCUGUGAAAACUCGAGGCUCAACUUCGAGCUGUCGGUGGAAACUUUCUGGCUAGAGUCCGGAAGAGGAGAGUGGAAUUCCUGGUGUAGCGGUGAAAUGCGCAGAUAUCAGGAAGAACACCCGUGGCGAAGGCGGUUCUCUGGGACGGUACUGACGCUGAGACGCGAAAGCGUGGGGAGCGAACAGG
Molecule: ribosomal RNA, 253 nt
Filed under: uncultured bacterium
Lineage: Bacteria
Description: partial 16S ribosomal RNA
Rfam family: Bacterial small subunit ribosomal RNA
Source: RNAcentral